Non-coding RNA from Aegilops tauschii subsp. strangulata, 686 nucleotides. Lineage: Eukaryota; Viridiplantae; Streptophyta; Magnoliopsida; Poales; Poaceae. The record is from RefSeq and is a predicted model, not a curated record.
CACCCAUCUUUUCGUCUAUGCCUCAUUGGAUGCACUUCCAUUGUAUGUAAUGUUAGAUAUACACAAUCAUAGAUACAUAUAUGAUCUUCCACCUCGGCUCCUAUACUGAUAAGAUUUGUGUUGAUACAUGAUUCUCAACAAAGUGUGCUACCAAACUUUUUCACGAAAAGUGUAGUACCAGUUGGUGUGAUAUCAUGUCCUCAGCAACGCCCCCGAUGGAUCGACCAUGACCAUGUUGUUGCCUGGAAUCUUUUUUCAUGAUGAUGUCGCUAUUCGUCAUCCCACAGUUUAUGCGGUGGAGCGUCAACGACCUCAGCGUGUUGCAGGAGAAGACCAUGAAUAUCGGCAAGAAAGAUGUUGAUCAAGGAAGGUGCAACACUGUGAUGUGAGUUGAACACAAGCAUGGCCUACAAUCUCGACGCCCACCAUCCAUGUGCCUUGCAAGCAGCAAUUGUUCACAUCCUUGAUAUUUGUCACUGCCCUCUUCUCAUCUAUCCCGACAGUCUCGGUGUCCAGGCAAGGUAUGUCUAUGUCAGUUGAACUGUCACUCGAGUUACAACAAUUCCAAUCUUUUUUCUAUAUCUGCAAUUGGGUGGACUAUGGUAUGAAUCAGUUUAUAAGCAACCAUGGUGUACAUGAAUCUCUGUUGGUGUGAACUGUCAAAAGCAUUUCCUACUAUUUCUACC